RNAcentral lists this ribosomal RNA (496 nucleotides) under uncultured bacterium. RNAcentral's name for it is "bacterial SSU rRNA". It matches the Rfam family "Bacterial small subunit ribosomal RNA", at positions 903 to 1397 of the family's 1533-position model. The record is from RNAcentral.
AAAUGAAUUGACGGGGACCCGCACAAGCAGCGGAGCAUGUCGUUUAAUUCGAAGAUACUCGAAGAACCUUACCAAGGCUUGACAUCGGAUGCAUACCAUGGAAACAUGGGAAAGGAUAGCAAUAUUUCAUCCAGACAGAUGGUGCAUGGUUGUCGUCAGCUCGUGCCGUGAGGUGUUCGGUUAAGUCCGAUAACGAGCGCAACCCUUACCGGAAGUUACCAUCAUUUAGUUGGGGACUCUUUCGGGACUGCCGCAGAUAAUGUGGAGGAAGGUGGGGAUGACGUCAAAUCAUCAUGCCUCUUACGCCUUGGGCUACAAACGUGCUACAAUGGCAGCUACAAUGUGUCGCAAACCCGUGAGGGGGAGCUAAUCACAAAAAAGCUGUCUCAGUUCAGAUUGUGGGCUGCAACCCGCCCACAUGAAGUCGGAGUUGCUAGUAAUCGCGAAUCAGCAUGUCGCGGUGAAUGCGUUCCCGGGUCUUGUACACACCGCCCGU